Molecule: ribosomal RNA, 497 nt
Filed under: uncultured bacterium
Lineage: Bacteria
Description: partial 16S ribosomal RNA
Rfam family: Bacterial small subunit ribosomal RNA
Source: RNAcentral
GACGAACGCUGGCGGCGUGCCUAAUACAUGCAAGUAGAACGCUGAAGCUUGGUGCUUGCACCGAGCGGAUGAGUUGCGAACGGGUGAGUAACGCGUAGGUAACCUGCCUGGUAGCGGGGGAUAACUAUUGGAAACGAUAGCUAAUACCGCAUAAUAGUAGAUGUUGCAUGACAUUUGCUUAAAAGGUGCAAUUGCAUCACUACCAGAUGGACCUGCGUUGUAUUAGCUAGUUGGUGAGGUAACGGCUCACCAAGGCAACGAUACAUAGCCGACCUGAGCGGGUGAUCGGCCACACUGGGACUGAGACACGGCCCAGACUCCUACGGGAGGCAGCAGUAGGGAAUCUUCGGCAAUGGACGGAAGUCUGACCGAGCAACGCCGCGUGAGUGAAGAAGGUUUUCGGAUCGUAAAGCUCUGUUGUAAGAGAAGAACGAGUGUGAGAGUGGAAAGUUCACACUGUGACGGUAACUGACCAGAAAGGGACGGCUAACUACGUG